Carassius carassius (crucian carp) is the source of this 3011-nucleotide RNA transcript. It is a transcript of the gene named islet cell autoantigen 1-like protein, with no coding region annotated. The record is from RefSeq and is a predicted model, not a curated record. Lineage: Eukaryota; Metazoa; Chordata; Actinopteri; Cypriniformes; Cyprinidae. The transcript is spliced from 15 exons.
UUUAUUUGGAUCCGUACUGUGGUGGGUUCGAACUGCAGGAUGAAGUCAACAUGUCACAUUCGUAUUCUAAGUUAAAAGGGUUGUUAUUAUUCUAGAGAAACGCAGCGCGAGCUCGAUGACUCCUUGUCUUGUUUGGGAUCCGAUUUAAGCCUCACUCGUUAAGAAGAUGGACAGCUAUGGGUUCUCCAGUGACAUGUUCAGUGGUCGAGCGGUUCUGGGGGAGGACAGCUCGGUCAUGGCCCGGGUGCAGAAGAAGUUCUGGAAGACCAAGCAGGUUCUGAUCAAGGCCACAGGGAAGAAAGAAGAUGAGCACGUGGUGGCAUCUGACGCAGAUCUUGAUGCCAAAUUGGAGUUUUUCCGUUCAGUCCAGAGCACUUGCACAGAUCUCCUGAAAGUGAUCGAGAAAUACCAGCAAAGAAUCACACACCUCUCUCAAGAGGAGAAUGAGCUCGGACUGUUCUUGCGCUUCCAGGCAGAGCAUGAUAAAACAAAAGCAGGCAGUAUGAUGGACGCCACCAGUAAAGCUCUCUGCUGUUCUGCCAAGCAAAGGUUGGCUCUGUGUCCCUCUCUCCAUCGUUUCGAACAGGAAGUAGAGACGUUCCGGAGGAGAGCCAUCGCUGACUCCCUGCUGACUGUGAGCCGGAUGGAGAAAGCACGGACUGAGUACCGCGGAGCUCUGCUCUGGAUGAAGGAUGUCUCACAGGAACUGGACCCAGAUACUUAUAAACAACUGGAGAAAUUUCGCAAGGUUCAGGCCCAGGUUAGAGGAACAAAAGCACAUUUUGAUAAGCUUAAGAAUGACGUGUGUCAGAAAGUGGAUAUGCUGGGUGUCAGUCGCUGCAACAUGCUUUCACAUUCUUUAUGUACUUACCAGACAACGCUUUUACAGUACUGGGAGAAGACUGCACACGUGAUGUCUGGCAUCCAUGAGGCCUUCAAAGGAUAUGUACCCUACCAGUUCACUACCCUCAAAGAAUUGAGGGACCCAUUGGACCAGAUUGUCUCUGCAGAAGCAGCAGAGGACAGCAAAGAUGAGGACAAGACGCAUCCAGACAAUCUUGUUUUUCUUGAAGAUGAGCCGCUGGAUGAAUCAUCUGAUACUGUUUCUACUCGUGCAGUAGAUGGACAGAGUAGAGGAUCAGACAGUUCUUUGUGUGCUAGUCUGGACUCUGCGUUGAAUGAACAAUUAGGGCCCAUUGGAGUUAGCACAGAUGACGACCUCCUAUUAUUGACCUCUGAGCCUGGUCCGAUCCCUUCUCUCACUCCAACCUUGACCCCGACCCUACUCUCAUCCAUGUCCGUUAUGCAGCCUCAGAUACCGCAGGAGACCUCGGUGCCUCCUGCUUUUCAGUGGGCCGUAGGCGUCUCACAUGAGGAAAAGCAAGUAGGCAGGGAUCUGUUGUCUGAGGCUUUAGACUCUGCCGGGGUGAAAGCAGAGGAUGGAGAUAGAGGUGACCUGGCCUUCCUGCAGGAUCUGCUGAGUCCUGGGGCUGCCGGUGGAGCUAGUGAUUUCAGUAAGGCAUGGCAGGAUGCUUUUGGCUGUUUUGAGGCCCCUCUUGCUCCUGUUGCUGCCGCUUCACCACAAGCAGGAACGGCAAACAUACCCACUGGCUUCCUGCCAUCACAACUCCUCGACCAUAGCCUCAGUACCACAGGAUGGGAGACUCCACCCAUGUUUCAACCCCUGCCGCUCCAGCCACCUUCCAGUGAAGGACAGUCCAUCCAGAAUAGUCCAAACUCUUCUGCCAGUGGUGGGAGUUGUAUAUGACAUGUUAUAAAUUACACAUCGAUAUGGACAAUCUCAGAUGCUCUUUUUCUGCUGUUUCUGUUGUGAUUCGUCUCUCUGUGUCUUUUUAGCACCUAAAGGAAGGUCCAGGGACAUGUCUGCCUGGUUUAACCUCUUUGCAGAUCUGGACCCUCUGUCCAACCCAGAUGCUAUUGGGCGCAGUGAUCAGGAGUUCCUCAAUGCCUGAGCCUUUUUCCUGUCUGAGUGAAGGAUGGUAUGGAGCUGAUCACUUCCCAAAUAUUCUUUGCUGGAAAGGAGUGCAUAUCCCAAGCCUUCAUUCGGAGCUGGUGCACUACCUCUCCUGAAACCAUUCAACCUGAGCCAAGGAAGCAUCCAGAAAUCUCUAUCCACAUUUAACACUGGAAGGUUUCUGAUAUAUGGGAAUGUGUCUCUUUCUCUAUUCUUUCAUUGUGUGUGUGAACUUACUGUAUGUUCAUUAGGUCAGGACACUGAAGGGUAAAAUAUUGAAGACUUCUUCUCUGUAUCACCAUAGUGUUGUUCCCUGAGAGUAAAGUAUCUGUUACUUUCUAAAGUGCACAUGUUUAAAGGGAUGUGAAGGUGAGAGUUUGCCCAUCUCAUAUGUGUGUGUGUGUGUGUGUGGUGGGGGGGGGGCUGUUUUGCCUAGGACCAAAAAUAGAAAUAAACCUGGGUAUGUGUGUGUGUGUAUCUGUAUGCUUUGUACAACAGGGGAGUUUUAAAGUCCAGAAACGGGGUUACAGAUUUAUAACAUCUAUUAUAGAUUAUAGACUGUAUUUUUAAUCAAGACUGAUACCCAAAAUGUGUGCUUGUAAAUAACAAAAAAUAUUUUUGGAGUCUCUUUCACUGGAUUAGUUUAACCCUAAACGAUAAAACAAAUGAAAUAAUUUAUCAAUAUAAUAAAAGUGUUACUGUAAACUACAUAUGCAAGUCGUGUGUUGUGCCAUUAGUUUGGUUGGAAUGAGGUCGUCACAUUUUAAUGAAACUAAUCGAAGAUGAUUUUGUUUUAGUGCAAAAAAUGCUGAAAGGCUCUCACUCAGAGAAAUAACUUCUCCCAAAUGAUCUUCACUGUCACACGGUGAUGCAAAACACUGGAAUGUGUUUGUGAACGUGUUUUUGUGUGUGGUUUUAUUUCAUAUGUCACCAUUAGUACAGAAUUACAUAAUUAUCCUGCUUUUGAAAACGUUUAGUUUUUUUUCCCCAGAUUAUCAUGUUUGGACUCAUUUGUGAGUGACUAUGAAAUUAUUUU